GAUUAAUGUUGGCAGUGUGCCUAAUACAUGCAAGUCGAGCGAUAUAGCGGCAGACGAGAGAGUAAUAGGAAGGAACAUGCCCCGAACUCAAGGAUAGCCACCCGAAAGGGUGGGUAAUCCUGGAUAGUCCCGCAAGGGUAAAGGCUUUAUGCGGUUCGGGAGUGGCCUUCCUCCUAUCAGCUUGUUGGUAAGGUAAUGGCUUACCAAGGCUCUGAUCGGUAGCUGGUCUGAGAGGAUGAUCAGCCACAAUGGGACUGAGACACGGCCCAUACUCCUACGGGAGGCAGCAGUGGGGAAUUUUACGCAAUGGGGGAAACCCUGACGUAGCGACACCGCGUGAACGAAGAAGCCUUUUGGGGUGUAAAGUUCUGUCAGCAGGAACGAAAUAAAUGACGGUACCUGCAGAGGAAGCAUCGGCUAACUACGUG
Molecule: ribosomal RNA, 428 nt
Filed under: uncultured bacterium
Lineage: Bacteria
Description: bacterial SSU rRNA
Rfam family: Bacterial small subunit ribosomal RNA
Source: RNAcentral